RNAcentral lists this long non-coding RNA (7363 nucleotides) under Lactuca sativa (garden lettuce). Its description in RNAcentral is "long non-coding RNA (LSAT_LNC000539)". Lineage: Eukaryota; Viridiplantae; Streptophyta; Magnoliopsida; Asterales; Asteraceae. The record is from RNAcentral.
GCUCGGGAGAUCGAGCGCUAGUGAUUUCAGGGAUUUGCGAGUUAUCGAGAUACGCGAGGUGAGUCUUCUCACUAUACUUUACCUUGAGUAGGUAAUCAGAGUUAUGUGACAGAGUAUUUGUAUGCUAUAUGUAUGUUAUGUGUUGUACUGCAUUAUUUCUAUGUGAUUUAUGCUGUGCAUGUUUAUAGAGUUAGAACCGGAAGGUUCCCAAAGUUAGAACCAGAGGGUUCACAGAGUAGGGUCUACGGACCCACAGAGUUAUAGCCUCGAGUGGCUAAUAUGUGUUAUGUGUGGUAUUUUGGGGAACUCACUAAGCUUUGUGCUUACAGUGUUUGGUGUUAUUUGUUUCAGGUACUAGUGAUGACCGUGGGAAGGCGCCGGCUUGAUCAGUACGCACACAGGAUUUUUAUGUUACGAGAUCUUGAGAUUUUUAUAUGUCAUGGAUUGAGUUUCAAACAUUGAUGUUUUAUGAAUAUUAAAUGAAUUAUGUUUUUAUAAAAUGUGAAAAAUUGUUCUGAAAUUUAUAGUGUUACAAGUUGGUAUCAGAGCCUUGGUUUGAGGGAUUCGAGUACACCUUCGGGCGUAUUUGAACUCAAACUGAGGAUUUGAGAAGUAUUUUCAAAAAGAGUAAAAGAUUUUUGGAAAAACGCAGAGCAGAGUUGUGUGUACGAUCAGUCCUCGCCCGAACGGUGAUUUCCCAAGCUACCCUCAUAUUAUGUGUCAUGAUAUUGAUAUGAUGUAUUCUCAUGCUAGAGUAGGUUAGGUACUCCUAUUAGGACUAGAGUGGCCUGAUUUCUGAUGUCUUAUCCUAGGAGGAGGUGAGUUGCUAUGAGAUGCUUCAGAGUGAGUAAGUAGCAACGAGGAGCUUAUGAGAGAUCUGUUAGAGAGUGGAUUAUGCAUAAUAGAGUACUUGGAACUUGGGAUCCGAAGAGGAGGACUUGGGGUGUAUUCUGAUACGGUGCGGACAGUAGUAUUGGGCCCGUACUACUGAAAGCACCGGGGCGGUGUACAGCCCAAGUAAGAAUCUUUGGAAUGCCAAGGAUCAAGGAGGGAUGAGUUGUCGAGUGUGAGUAUGCUCGAAUGGAUUCUAAUUUAUCGUAUGUUGUAUUUCAGAGGUAGAUCAUGGUGAGGACACGUCUUAUGCCUGAGAGUAAUUGGGUCAGUGAUGAGGAGAUCCGCCGGAUCAUCCAUGAGGAGGUGGCUGCGGCCAUCAGGGCAGAGAUACCAGAGAUGUUCGGGUCUAUUAAGACCAUGUUGAUUGAGACUUUCAACGAGAGUUAUGCUGCUCUUUCUGAGGCUGCUGUUGCAGCGGNNNNNNNNNNNNNNNNNNNNNNNNNNNNNNNNNNNNNNNNNNNNNNNNNNNNNNNNNNNNNNNNNNNNNNNNNNNNNNNGUCGGAGUUUGACCCAGGACCCGGUGGCGGCUAUGAGAUGGAUUUCAGAAAUAGAGGGGUUUUUAUUCACUUGCUCAUCUCCUAAGCAUUUGAGAGUUUAGUUCACACUGAACCAGCUUCGCUUGGGAGCGAAGGACUGGUGGAAGUUUGUGACGGCGCACCUUACGCCUGCUGAGCUUGUGGCAGUGACAUGGGAGAGGUUCACUGCCAUGUUCCGAGAUGAGUACGUUCCCCAGGUGGAGAGGGAGCGUUUGGCCCAGGAGUUGCUGACCCUCAAGCAGGGUACUGAGUCUGUUACGGUGAUUACCAGGAUGUUCCACGAGAGGGCAAUGUUCAGCCCUGUGCACGUGUCCACUGAGCAGGCACGUAUGAGCCGAUAUUUGAGUAUCUUGAAGCGAGACAUUCGGGAGUUCGUGGAGAACUCCUCGUACCGGACAUUUGCCGAGCUUCAGGCAAAUGCCCAGAAGAGGGAGAUUGAGCUAGAGACUCAGGCUAGGGAGUAGGCGGAGUCUCAGGGGAGGGAUCGGCGACCGGCAUAGUCCCAGCCGGCAGCCAAGCGGGCCAUGCCCGCUGAUCCCAAAACAGGGAGCCAGAAAGGCCGCACUUGUGGGAAGUGCGGAAAGGGUCAUGAUCAAUUUUGUAGAGUUGGAUCUUGCUACAAGUGUGGCAAGGAGGGACAUAUGGCCAAGGACUGCCCCAAGGGGUUUGCAGUAUGUUUCCACUGCAACCAGACCGGACACCGGAAGGCAGAGUGUCUGCAGUUGCGGGGGUCAGCUCAGGGAGCACCUCCGGGAUCUGCCCCUGCCGCCAUCAGAGCUACUGAGAGUCGGCCAGUGAAGGCCGAGGUGCCGUGGGUACGAGGGAGAGCUUUUCAGUUGACCGCGCAGGAGGUCCGCGCAGCGCCUGAUGUCAUGGCUGGUAUGUAUUCUUUCGUGUAUUUAUUUUGAUGUUGAGAUAUAUUGCUUAUAUUAUGUUAUGCGUAGGUACUUUUCUUGUGAAUUAUGUACCUGCCUUGGUGUUAUUUGACUCGGGUGCGAGUCGGUCUUUGGUAUCUUUGGCUUUUAGUCAGCAUCUUAUUGUUAGUCGUGAGGCGUUGAGUCAGCCUCCGAGAGUUUCCAUAGCUGACGAGAGGGUGAUAUAUUCCACGGAGGUUAUCCGUGGGUGCGUAUUUGAGAUUUUCGGUGUUGAGUUCCCGAUUGAUUUGGUUCCUAUUGCGAUGGGCGAUGCCUGUGUCAUUAUGGGCAUGGACUGGUUGAGCAGAUUCGGUGUGGUUAUCGACUACGAGCAGCAGCUGGUGACCAUACGAGAUCCUAGUGGGCGAGUUCUUAUGGUGUACGGCGAGGGUACACAUUCUGGGUCAGCAUUUUGUUCGGCCGCUAGGGUGAGGCAGUGUCUACAGCAGGGCUGUAAGGGCUUUGUGGCGUAUGUGAUCGAUACGCGGGUUGAUUCAGAGAGGCCGAGGUCAGUUGAGGAGGUUCCGAUAGUGCGUGAAUUUCUGGAUGUAUUUCUAGAGGAGUUUUCGGGUGUGCCUCCCGUGAGGCAAGUGGAGUUCAGUAUCGAUUUGGUUCCGGGGGUCGCGCCUAUCGCCAAGGUGCCUUAUCGCCUUGCACCUCUGGAGAUGCAAGAGUUAUCCUCGCGGCUUCAGGAGCUGUUGGGAAAGGGGUUUAUUCGGCCGAGCAGCUCGCCGUGGGGAGCGCCUAUCCUUUUUGUCAAGAAGAAGGAUGGUUCAAACCGGAUGUGCAUUGACUAUUAGGAGUUGAACAUGCUGACGGUCAAGAACCGUUACCUGUUGCCGAGGAUCGACGAUUUGUUCGAUCAGUUGCAGGGAGCAUCUUGGUUCUCCAAGAUCGAUUUGAGGUCUGGAUAUCAUCAAGUGAGGUUGCGAGAUGAAGACAUCCAGAAGACAGCAUUCAGGACGUGUUAUGGGUAUUACGAGUUUGUGGUGAUGCCUUUCAGGCUCACCAAUGCCCCGACAGUGUUCAUGGAUCUCAUGAACUGAGUGUGCAGGCCGAUGUUGGAUCGGACGGUGAUUGUAUUCAUCGACGACAUUUUGGUAUAUUCGAGAUCUAGAGAGCAGCAUGAGGAGCAUUUGAGGGAGAUCCUCGGGGUUCUGAGAUCGGAGAGGCUUUAUGCCAAAUUCUCCAAGUGUGAUUUCUGGUUGCGAGAGGUCUAGUUCCUAAGGCAUCUCGUUAACCAGAAAGGGAUAUUGGUCGACCCGGCCAAAGUUGAGGCAGUGAUGAGUUGGGAGGUGUCGAGGUCACCCUUCGAGAUCAGGAGUUUCUUAGGGUUGCUAGGUUAUUAUCGGAGAUUUAUCAAGGAUUUCUCUAAGAUCGCAGUGCCACUCACCAGGUUGACCCGGAAGGGUGUCGCUUUUUCAUGGGGCCCCGAGCAGCUGGCCUCCUUUGAGAUGCUUCGGCAAAGAUUAUGCGAAGCCCCGGUGUUAGCCCUCCCGGAGGGGAUGGAGGACUUUGUGGUAUACUGUGAUGCAUCGAUCUUGGGGUUGGGAGCGGUGCUGAUGCAGAGAGGGCAUGUGAUAGCAUAUGCAUCGAGGCAGCUGAAGCCUCAUGAGAUGAGGUAUCCCACCCAUGAUCUAGAGUUGGGGGCAGUGGUGUUCGCCCUCAAAAUUUGGCGUCACUAUCUGUAUGGGGUUCGGUGUACGAUAUACACAGACCAUAAGAGCCUGAAGUGUUUGAUGGAUCAGCCCAACCUAAAUAUGCGGCAGAGGAGGUGGUUGGAUGUGGUCAAGGAUUAUGAUUGUGAGAUCCUGUACCAUCCAGUCAAGGCUAAUGUGGUAGCCGACGCCCUGAGUCGCUGGCGGAGAGCGCCCCAUUGCGAGAUGUAUGUUUGCAAUUGACCGUGAUGGCUUCGGUGCUGGACACCAUUUGUGUAGCACAUGCUGAGGUCGUGAGAUCGGAGAACCAGAAGAGAGAGCGAGUUAUUGGGUUGGUAUCGGAGUUCGUUACCGAUGGUCGGGGGCUUAUGACAUUUCAACGGCGUAUAUGGGUACCAUUUGUGGGAGGGACGCAUACCAUUUUGAUGGAAGAGGCUCAUCGGUCGAAAUUCUCGAUCCAUCCUGGGGCCACUAAGAUGUAUUUGGACCUAAGGAGAGAGUAUUGGUGGCCCUGUAUGAAUAGGGAUAUUGCGUGGUUUGUUGAGAGGUUCUUAACCUAUCGUAGGGUUAAGGCCGAGCACCAGAGACCGCAUGGUAAGUUGCAGCCGUUGGAGGUUCCCGAAUGGAAGUGGGAACAGAUUACCAUGGAUUUUAUCACCAAAUUUCCAAGGACUGCUAGGGGAGUCGAUGUAAUUUGGGUGAUUGUCGACAGGUUGACAAAGAGCACCCACUUCCUUGUUAUCAGUAAGAGCUCCUCCGUAGAGAAGUUAGCAGAGAUGUACGUGAGGGAAAUGGUAUCUCGGUAUGGGGUGCCGAUCUCAAUUGUCUCAGACCGGGAUGUAUGUUUCACUUCCAGAUUUUGGAAGAAGUUUCACGACGAUUUGGGUAAUAGGCUGCAUUUUAGUACCACAUAUCACUCCCAGACAGACGGACAGAGUGAGCGGACGAUCCAGACGCUCGAGGACAUGCUCCGGGCAUGUGUGUUGGAUUUUGGGGGGAGUUGGGAUACGUAUUUGACCUUGGCAGAGUUUUCCUAUAACAACAGCCAUCAUUCGAGCAUUGGUAUGCCACCCUUUGAGCUGUUGUAUGGGAGGAGGUGUCGGACCCCCAUUUGCUAGGGAGAGGUCGGACAACGUGUUAUGGGCAGUACAAAGAUCGUGCUUUAGACGACAGAGCAGAUCCAGCAGGUCAGACAGAGGUUGUUGACCGCUUAGAGUCGUCAGAAGAGUUAUGCGGACAGACGUCGGUCCGAGCUUGAGUUUCAGGUCGGCGACUUUGUGCUCCUGAAGGUCUCUCCUUGGAAAGGAGUGAUUCGAUUCAGGAAGAGGGGCAAGUUAGGGCCCCGAUAUAUUGGUCCAUUCCGGGUGGUCGCGGGGGUAGGUAGGGUAUCCUAUCGCUUGGAGUUGCCAGCAGAGUUGAGUCAGAUUCACGACACUUUCCACGUGUCGCAAUUGCGGAAGUGUAUAGCCGAUGAGUCGGCAGUGGUUCCAUUAGAGGAUAUUCAGGUGGAUGCGAGCCUGAAUUAUGUUGAGAGACCGAUGGCAAUCAGAGAUUGGAAAAUCAAGGUGUUGAGGAACAAGGAGGUACCCUUGGUUUUGGUUCAGUGGCAACAUCGGAAGGGGUCCGAGAUGACUUGGGAGCCGGAGUGUGAGAUGCGUGAGCAGCAUCUGGAGUUAUUUGUGGAGCGAGACUUCGAGGGUGAAGUCUAGUUCUAGUGGGGGAGAAUUGUAACAUCCCGAAUUCCCAGGUAUUAUUUAUUAUUGUAUUUUUGGUGAUUUGUGAGGAGACGUGGCGAGUUGGAGCCCAAACUCGCUGAGUAUAACCGCGGGUGUGGGUGCGGGUUCGCGUCUGGACUCGGCGAGUCCACGCUGUUUAAUGAAAUCCUAAUUCCCCGGGUUUGGAGCCUAUUUAAGGGCACUUAUAGCCUCCCAUUGCGGCUACCGGUCCCUUGAGAGAACCCUAAGAGAGCUAAAUCGCUUUGAGAGAGAAGAAGUCACUUUUGGAUCUUUGUAUCCUUUGUUUAGCAAGAAGAGGGUGACAAGAGCAAGGAGGAGGUGAGAUUCAAGCAUAUCCAGAGUCCAAAGGCUUCAUUUUGAGGUAAUACUUCGAACCUCCUUCAGUUUUAGGAUUGAUCUUUAGAGUUAGGGUUUUCUAACUCCUUUUUGAAAGUGAUUAUGUGAAGCAAAUGGUCCCUCCUCGAGUUUGUGCCUUGGAUCUGGACUCAAAGAGGUCCACAGACCUUAACCCUUGCAGCUUUUUCGGUUAGUAUGGAGUUAUUGGACUUAGGUUGUCAUUUUUGGGACCAAAUCUCCUUUUGAUGCCUUGUUGUGGUUAUACAAGCAUCAAGUUUCGAACUUUACGUGACAUGGCCAGAUCUGUGGUUUGGGGAAACAGAUCUGACCUCAGGAGGUCAAUAGGGUUUGUGCAUGGCAUGAACUCGCCGAGUUGUUCUUGAGACUCGGCGAGUAGCGUUAAGUUUCACGUAAAUUGUUCAGCGAGUAGACUCGCCGGGUUGGGGGAUAACCCAGUGAGCCAGGGAGAGUCAAAGGGGGUUGAGUCAAGCUGGAACUCGCCGAGUUGUUCUUGAGACUCGGCGAGUUGAGUCGUGGUGGCCCCGCGAUUCAUGCCAGGUGGAACUCGUCGAGUUAGGGAAGUACUCGACGUGUCAAGAGAGGAUCCGAGGGAGUCAGUGAACACGUAUAGACUCGCCGAGUCACCCUAGUGCACUCGCCGAGUCUGGUCAAAGUUGACCGUUGACCAUUGACCAGAGUUGACCAGUGUUGACUUGAUAGGGUUAGUCAACCUUAGUUGUGAAAGUCUUAAUUAGAGAUAUAUUGUGUUAUAGGAGGACUAUAGCUCGGGAGAUCGAGCGCUAGUGAUUUCAGGGAUUUGCGAGUUAUCGAGAUACGCGAGGUGAGUCUUCUCACUAUACUUACCUUGAGUAGGUAAUCAGAGUUAUGUGACAGAGUAUUUGUAUGCUAUAUGUAUGUUAUGUGUUGUACUGCAUUAUUUCUAUGUGAUUUAUGUUGUGCAUGCUUCUAGAGUUGGAACCGGAAGGUUCACAGAGUUAGAGCCAGAGGGUUUACAGAGUAGGGUCCAUGGACCCAUAGAGUUAUAGCCUCGAGUGGCUAAUAUGUGCUAUGUGUGGUAUUUUGGGGAAGUCACUAAGCUUUGAGCUUACAGUGUUUGGUGUUAUUUGUUUCAGGUACUAGUGAUUACCGUGGGAAGGCGCCGACUUGAUCAGUACACACAUAGGAUUUUUAUGUUACGAGAUCUUGGGAUUUUUAUAUGUCAUGGACUGAGUUUCAAACAUUGAUGUCUUUAUGAAUAUUAAAUGAAUUAUGUUUUUAUAAAAUGUGAA